RNAcentral lists this ribosomal RNA (582 nucleotides) under uncultured bacterium. RNAcentral's name for it is "partial 16S ribosomal RNA". It matches the Rfam family "Bacterial small subunit ribosomal RNA", at positions 355 to 1375 of the family's 1533-position model. The record is from RNAcentral.
UGGGGAAUUUUGGACAAUGGGCGAAAGCCUGAUCCAGCAAUGCCGCGUGUGUGAAGAAGGCCUUCGGGUUAUAAAGCACUUUUGUCCGGAAAGAAAUCCUUGGCUCUAAUACAGUCGGGGGAUGACGGUACCGGAAGAAUAAGCACCGGCUAACUACGUGCCAGCAGCCGCGGUAAUACGUAGGGUGCAAGCGUUAAUCGGAAUUACUGGGCGUAAAGCGUGCGCAGGCGGUUUGCUAAGACCGAUGUGAAAUCCCCGGGCUCAACCUGGGAACUGCAUUGGUGACUGGCAGGCUAGAGUAUGGCAGAGGGGGGUAGAAUUCCACGUGUAGCAGUGAAAUGCGUAGAGAUGUGGAGGAAUACCGAUGGCGAAGGCAGCCCCCUGGGCCAAUACUGACGCUCAUGCACGAAAGCGUGGGGAGCAAACAGGAUUAGAUACCCUGGUAGUCCACGCCCUAAACGAUGUCAACUAGUUGUGGGAUUCAUUCCUUAGUAACGUAGCUAACGCGUGAAGUUGACCGCCUGGGGAGUACGGUCGCAAGAUUAAAACUUAAAGGAAUUGACGGGGUCAUAGCUGUUUCCU